RNAcentral lists this ribosomal RNA (413 nucleotides) under uncultured bacterium. Its description in RNAcentral is "bacterial SSU rRNA". It matches the Rfam family "Bacterial small subunit ribosomal RNA", at positions 506 to 921 of the family's 1533-position model. The record is from RNAcentral.
AGCCAGCAGCCGCGGUAAUACGGAGGUGGCAAGCGUUGUUCGGAUUCAUUGGGUGUAAAGGGCAUGUAGGUGGUUAGGUAAGUCGAAUGUGAAAUCCUUUGGCUCAACCAUAGAAUUGCAUUCGAAACUGCCUGACUUGAGGUCAGGAGAGGAAAGCGGAAUUCCCGGUGUAAGAGUGAAAUCUGUAGAGAUCGGGAGGAACACCAGUGGCGAAGGCGGCUUUCUGGACUGAAUCUGACACUGAAAUGCGAAAGCUAGGGGAGCAAACAGGAUUAGAUACCCUGGUAGUCCUAGCCGUAAACGAUGGACACUAGGUGUCGGGCCGCAAGGCUCGGUGCCGCAGUUAACACAUUAAGUGUCCCACCUGGGGAGUACGGCCGCAAGGCUGAAACUUAAAGGAAUUGGCGGGGGAU